GGCACUUGCAACUUUAUUGCGCCAGCAAGAACAUGCAUACAGCCCAGUCUAACGUACAGGAUCAAAAAGAGACCUUAUUUCGGCUGGCAAUUACCUUACCCGCUUGUUCAUUAUCUGACUCCUGCACUCCUCCCAAGUGUUCAAUGUUAACCAGAUGGCAAAGUUAACCAGACAGAGGAAAUCCACAUAAUUACUCUAGAUGAAGCCCCCUAACUGCGGAUUAGAAGGAAAAGAGAUGAAGGGUGCUGCACUAAUAAUAACAACCAUUUUCAACCAAGGCAGGAUUCUGGGCCUAGAAUCUUCAGUGACAAAUUACCAGGAGAGGAGGAGGGAAAUGAAGAGCUGGAGGCCUAGGGAGAUGGUGUGAGGAGAGGAGACUGUGCCUUUCCACUUCUUAAUAAUUAAUGUUCUCCUGCUGCUCUGAGUCUGCAUCACCAGUGAUUCAGUUUGAGUCAGACAUCCAACAACAACUGAGCAAAAGAAUCAUCUCAGAUCCAAGCAAUGGUGACGCGCAGAUAGAAGAGACUGAGGCCAACGACCAAAGCAAAGGACAGCAGAACUGACUGACACAGCUCAGAAAAUAUCCAAAGCUCUGUAUGCUCUGGAAAGGAAGACAAGAAAUGCUAAAGACUCUGGAUAUUGCUCUGUUUCUAUAAGGUCCCACCCAUAUACCAUCUCUUCUUUUGGAUUUCCUUUGGCAGGGUUCCCUUGUAUGGAAGUUCUCAGGAGAACAACACUCUCAGAGUCCCACUGUCUCAAAGAAUUCUUAAUGGACAGGUAUUUUUAAAGAAGUCAGGGUUAUCCACAGCUAUGUACAUAUAAUACCAAAUCAGAUCAUUUAUUCUGUACCUGAGGCAAAAAAGCUUCUGAUUCCUGAAUGGAUUUCUUCACUGGUUCUUCUGGGGGAUGAGAGAGAGAAACCAUUUACAAAGCUGAAGGAGAGCUAAGUCCACCCCUACACUGGCUGAGUUUCUUUGUAUAACAACUGUUCUCCCUUCCUAUUUUCUUCAAUUAUCUCUUCUUUCCCCAGCUAUACUUGGCCCCAAGGUUUCAACCUCACACUGAAGAAAGUGACAUAAGAAAACACAAGUCCCAGUGCUAUCAGGGGCUAUCUGGAAAAGCUGCUUAAACAGCAAGUGAAAGAAGGCUCUCCCCUACCCCGUUCUAGGUGAGGAACAGGUGGCUGACUCACCCUGAAGUUAUUUGAAGGAUCCUUGAGACUCUUUUGGAUUGCUGCUUGGAGAACAUUCCUGUAACUUGUCCCUGCUCCUUGAACUAUAAAAGCAGAAGGGAGGUACUGAGUUAAAACUUACAAAUUAUUAUCAAAUAAAUCUUCAAUAGUGGUUCAGUCCAA
This 1354-nucleotide long non-coding RNA is filed under the name Homo sapiens (human). RNAcentral's name for it is "PREDICTED lncRNA (TCONS_00163778)". Lineage: Eukaryota; Metazoa; Chordata; Mammalia; Primates; Hominidae. The record is from RNAcentral.